This 1409-nucleotide ribosomal RNA is filed under the name Serratia sp. (in: enterobacteria). RNAcentral describes it as "bacterial SSU rRNA". It matches the Rfam family "Bacterial small subunit ribosomal RNA". Lineage: Bacteria; Pseudomonadati; Pseudomonadota; Gammaproteobacteria; Enterobacterales; Yersiniaceae. The record is from RNAcentral.
UGCAGUCGAGCGGUAGCACAAGGAGAGCUUGCUCUCUGGGUGACGAGCGGCGGACGGGUGAGUAAUGUCUGGGAAACUGCCUGAUGGAGGGGGAUAACUACUGGAAACGGUAGCUAAUACCGCAUAACGUCUUCGGACCAAAGUGGGGGACCUUCGGGCCUCACGCCAUCAGAUGUGCCCAGAUGGGAUUAGCUAGUAGGUGGGGUAAUGGCUCACCUAGGCGACGAUCCCUAGCUGGUCUGAGAGGAUGACCAGCCACACUGGAACUGAGACACGGUCCAGACUCCUACGGGAGGCAGCAGUGGGGAAUAUUGCACAAUGGGCGCAAGCCUGAUGCAGCCAUGCCGCGUGUGUGAAGAAGGCCUUCGGGUUGUAAAGCACUUUCAGCGAGGAGGAAGGGUUCAGUGUUAAUAGCACUGUGCAUUGACGUUACUCGCAGAAGAAGCACCGGCUAACUCCGUGCCAGCAGCCGCGGUAAUACGGAGGGUGCAAGCGUUAAUCGGAAUUACUGGGCGUAAAGCGCACGCAGGCGGUUUGUUAAGUCAGAUGUGAAAUCCCCGCGCUUAACGUGGGAACUGCAUUUGAAACUGGCAAGCUAGAGUCUUGUAGAGGGGGGUAGAAUUCCAGGUGUAGCGGUGAAAUGCGUAGAGAUCUGGAGGAAUACCGGUGGCGAAGGCGGCCCCCUGGACAAAGACUGACGCUCAGGUGCGAAAGCGUGGGGAGCAAACAGGAUUAGAUACCCUGGUAGUCCACGCUGUAAACGAUGUCGACUUGGAGGUUGUGCCCUUGAGGCGUGGCUUCCGGAGCUAACGCGUUAAGUCGACCGCCUGGGGAGUACGGCCGCAAGGUUAAAACUCAAAUGAAUUGACGGGGGCCCGCACAAGCGGUGGAGCAUGUGGUUUAAUUCGAUGCAACGCGAAGAACCUUACCUACUCUUGACAUCCACAGAAUUCGCUAGAGAUAGCUUAGUGCCUUCGGGAACUGUGAGACAGGUGCUGCAUGGCUGUCGUCAGCUCGUGUUGUGAAAUGUUGGGUUAAGUCCCGCAACGAGCGCAACCCUUAUCCUUUGUUGCCAGCACGUAAUGGCGGGAACUCAAAGGAGACUGCCGGUGAUAAACCGGAGGAAGGUGGGGAUGACGUCAAGUCAUCAUGGCCCUUACGAGUAGGGCUACACACGUGCUACAAUGGCGUAUACAAAGAGAAGCGAACUCGCGAGAGCCAGCGGACCUCAUAAAGUACGUCGUAGUCCGGAUCGGAGUCUGCAACUCGACUCCGUGAAGUCGGAAUCGCUAGUAAUCGUAGAUCAGAAUGCUACGGUGAAUACGUUCCCGGGCCUUGUACACACCGCCCGUCACACCAUGGGAGUGGGUUGCAAAAGAAGUAGGUAGCUUAACCUUCGGGAGGGCGCU